UCUGUAUCUUUGUCUGUAGAUGGGGUGUAUUAUGGUACAGCAAUGUCUGUAUGUCUGUCUGUAGACGGGGCAUACCAUGGUACAUCAAUGUCUGUAAGCCCGUUUGUAGGUGGGACGUAAUAUGGUACAGCAAUGUAUGUAUGUCUGUCUUAAGAUGGGAUGCAUUGUCCACCAUAUGAAUACUUUGUUACGAUGUAUGAAAUGCCCUCUAAUUUUAGGAAUUUUAGAGUUUUUAGGGCGCUGAAAUAAGGUUUCAUUCCCAUGCUGAAAAACCAGGUAUUUUCCCAUUUUGUACUUUGAAAUUCCCAAACAAUGAAAACAAAUCAAAGCAGGGUAGCCUAAUUGUUCAUAAAUCUUCACUGGCCCAUAGAUUACAAUUUUUGCCUCAAACUUGUUAUGUAAACCUAAUAUUUUGGCCUCUGCUUAUUUAAAUGAGGUAAGCUUUGACCAAAUUGAAAGUCAGAAAGAGUCCAGUUCUACCUUAAUUCACUCUGGAUUGGUUUUAUCUCCCUACUUCUUUGUAUGAAACAUUUCUCCCAAGUUCAAACAAAUGCCAUUAUUUUUCCCAAUUGGAAAGGCCCAGACCCUUCCAAUGAAGACCUUAAAAAACCAGAAUUUAAAAUUUAAAAUCCAUUGCCCCUUUGACAAGGUCAGGCUCCAAAACAGGGUCAAUAUAGGAAACUUAUCAUUGCCUUUGUAUCCUUAUUAUUACAUAUAACCAAUGCUCAGGUGAACGAUAAAGCCAGUGAGUCUCCUGUUUAGAAGAUAACAAGCUGGCUUCUUUUGACAAAAUUCAUGAGGAUUUUAAUUUGUUGAAAAUUUCAUUUACUUGUCUGAUUUCUGGUCAUUCCACCACUCAUUGUCACUUUGGUUUUUCAGCUCCCUGGGCCUCAUGAGAUGGUGACACCCUGCAGUAGCAGUUCCUACCGAUAUCUCUUAAAAGCAGACAGAGGUUCUCAUAGCAUCUGAUCCAUUUCUGGAGACAAACUUUUGUAUGGAGCUGGGUAGCAGUUACUUGAGAUGUCCGGCUGAUUGAUGAGGAUAAUUUCCCUGAGACUCUAACAUUCUGUAGGACUUGGAUAGCUCUAUUACUGUAGAAAAUGUCAGGACGGUGGAGAUUUAGAUAAGUGGUGUGAUGUUAUUGAUGGUAAACAGAAGACUGUGACCUUGAAUCUGAAGAUCUGUGA
Long non-coding RNA from Ostrea edulis (European flat oyster), 1187 nucleotides. RefSeq lists it as uncharacterized. The record is from RefSeq and is a predicted model, not a curated record. NCBI's taxonomy places the organism in Eukaryota, Metazoa, Mollusca, Bivalvia, Ostreida, Ostreidae. The transcript is spliced from 3 exons.